GUGUAAUAGUUUAUUUUGCACUCUAAUGUAAUAUCUUGAAAGGACUUUACUUUUUGUAUUUAAUACUUAGCAUUGUCAAUUUAUGGUCUCUAAUGUAAGUUUUAAAAUUUAGUUUGCUUGUAAGGGAUUUUUAAAUUUAUGCUUCAAUGUUAAACUUAUUUUUAGCACUCAUAACUACUUGGUAGUUGGCUCCCUUCUACUAAUUAGGUAUGUAGGAUG
Molecule: long non-coding RNA, 219 nt
Filed under: Carica papaya (papaya)
Lineage: Eukaryota; Viridiplantae; Streptophyta; Magnoliopsida; Brassicales; Caricaceae
Description: long non-coding RNA (CPAP_LNC003126)
Source: RNAcentral